This 433-nucleotide ribosomal RNA is filed under the name uncultured bacterium. Its description in RNAcentral is "partial 16S ribosomal RNA". It matches the Rfam family "Bacterial small subunit ribosomal RNA", at positions 29 to 507 of the family's 1533-position model. The record is from RNAcentral.
AACGAACGCUGGCGGCAUGCCUAACACAUGCAAGUCGAACGAGACCUCCGGGCCUAGUGGCGCUCGGGUGCGUAACGCGUGGGAACCUGCCCUUAGGUUCGGAAUAACUCCCUGAAAGGGGUGCUAAUACCGGAUAAUGUCUUCGGACCAAAGAUUUAUCGCCUUUGGAUGGGCCCGCGUUGGUUUAGCUAGUUGGUAGGGUAAAAGCCUACCAAGGCGACGAUCCAUAGCUGGUCUGAGAGGAUGAUCAGCCACACUGGGGCUGAGACACGGCCCAGACUCCUACGCAAGGGAGGAGUGGGGAAUAUUGGACGAUGGGGGAAAGGCUGAUCCAGCAAUGCCGCGUGAGUGAUGAAGGCCGUAGGGAAGUAAAGCUGUUUUACCCGGGAUGAUAAUGACGGUACCGGGAGAAUAAGCUCCGGCUAACUCCGUG